GCUCGGAUGGUCUAGUGGUAUGAUUCUCGCUUAGGGUUACUCCCUAAGUAUCUUCAGUGAUUUGCGAGAGGUCCCAGGUUCAAAUCCUGGUUCGAGCC
Molecule: non-coding RNA, 98 nt
Organism: Pyronema domesticum
Lineage: Eukaryota; Fungi; Ascomycota; Pezizomycetes; Pezizales; Pyronemataceae
Source: the annotation of a GenBank genome assembly